Molecule: transfer RNA, 77 nt
Filed under: Muiribacterium halophilum (SeqCode)
Lineage: Bacteria; Candidatus Muiribacteriota; Muiribacteriia (SeqCode); Muiribacteriaceae (SeqCode)
Also listed under: 1 other name
Description: bacterium BM706 tRNA-Trp
Rfam family: tRNA
About the family: Transfer RNA (tRNA) molecules are approximately 80 nucleotides in length. Their secondary structure includes four short double-helical elements and three loops (D, anti-codon, and T loops). Further hydrogen bonds mediate the characteristic L-shaped molecular structure. tRNAs have two regions of fundamental functional importance: the anti-codon, which is responsible for specific mRNA codon recognition, and the 3' end, to which the tRNAs corresponding amino acid is attached (by aminoacyl-tRNA synthetases). tRNAs cope with the degeneracy of the genetic code in two manners: having more than one tRNA (with a specific anti-codon) for a particular amino acid; and 'wobble' base-pairing, i.e. permitting non-standard base-pairing at the 3rd anti-codon position.
Source: RNAcentral
AGGGUAGUAGCUCUAACUGGCAGAGCGUCGGUCUCCAAAACCGAAUGUUGGGGGUUCGAAUCCCUCCUACCCUGCCA